This 347-nucleotide long non-coding RNA is filed under the name Phoenix dactylifera (date palm). RNAcentral's name for it is "long non-coding RNA (PDAC_LNC004592)". Lineage: Eukaryota; Viridiplantae; Streptophyta; Magnoliopsida; Arecales; Arecaceae. The record is from RNAcentral.
UUUGAAGAGUAGUUGUCUCUCAAAAAGUAAGUUUGAAGAGUUAUAUGUCUGGAAAAAUAAUUUGAUAAUUUAGAAAUGGGAAUGCUGUAAAUAUGGCCCUUUUUUCAGGACCCCUUGGUGUUCCAAAUCCAUAGUCAGCAGAAAAAAAGGCAUCACAUGGAAGGCAAUCAAAGAGACUCGCAGGGCGCUCUUGGUAUUCUCUUCUAGCAUAAGCCUACAAAAAGGCAUGCUGAUUGGUACAUUAUUUCAAGCCAUGCUUGCUAACUGGUACAGAAUUUUGUAUGUCCAACCUAUCGGCCAUACAGCUUAUUCUUAAAAGAAGGCUUUCCAAAGAGCUGCCUUCUUUU